GCUUUAAUAGCUUAUAAAAUAGAGCACAGCACUGAAGAUGCUGAGGAAGCGGUUACGUUUUAAGGCA
Molecule: transfer RNA, 67 nt
Filed under: Tibia fusus
Lineage: Eukaryota; Metazoa; Mollusca; Gastropoda; Littorinimorpha; Rostellariidae
Description: tRNA-Phe
Rfam family: tRNA
About the family: Transfer RNA (tRNA) molecules are approximately 80 nucleotides in length. Their secondary structure includes four short double-helical elements and three loops (D, anti-codon, and T loops).
Source: RNAcentral